ACUAUCAUUAACUGAAUCCAUAGGUUAAUGAGGCGAACCGGGGGAACUGAAACAUCUAAGUACCCCGAGGAAAAGAAAUCAACCGAGAUUCCCCCAGUAGCGGCGAGCGAACGGGGAGCAGCCCAGAGCCUGAAUCAGUGUGUGUGUUAGUGGAAGCGUCUGGAAAGGCGCGCGAUACAGGGUGACAGCCCCGUACACAAAAAUGCACAUGCUGUGAGCUCGAUGAGUAGGGCGGGACACGUGGUAUCCUGUCUGAAUAUGGGGGGACCAUCCUCCAAGGCUAAAUACUCCUGACUGACCGAUAGUGAACCAGUACCGUGAGGGAAAGGCGAAAAGAACCCCGGCGAGGGGAGUGAAAAAGAACCUGAAACCGUGUACGUACAAGCAGUGGGAGCACAGAGCAAUCUGUGUGACUGCGUACCUUUUGUAUAAUGGGUCAGCGACUUAUAUUCUGUAGCAAGGUUAACCGAAUAGGGGAGCCGAAGGGAAACCGAGUCUUAACUGGGCGUUAAGUUGCAGGGUAUAGACCCGAAACCCGGUGAUCUAGCCAUGGGCAGGUUGAAGGUUGGGUAACACUAACUGGAGGACCGAACCGACUAAUGUUGAAAAAUUAGCGGAUGACUUGUGGCUGGGGGUGAAAGGCCAAUCAAACCGGGAGAUAGCUGGUUCUCCCCGAAAGCUAUUUAGGUAGCGCCUCGUGAAUUCAUCUCCGGGGGUAGAGCACUGUUUCGGCAAGGGGGUCAUCCCGACUUACCAACCCGAUGCAAACUGCGAAUACCGGAGAAUGUUAUCACGGGAGACACACGGCGGGUGCUAACGUCCGUCGUGAAGAGGGAAACAACCCAGACCGCCAGCUAAGGUCCCAAAGUCAUGGUUAAGUGGGAAACGAUGUGGGAAGGCCCAGACAGCCAGGAUGUUGGCUUAGAAGCAGCCAUCAUUUAAAGAAAGCGUAAUAGCUCACUGGUCGAGUCGGCCUGCGCGGAAGAUGUAACGGGGCUAAACCAUGCACCGAAGCUGCGGCAGCGACGCUGAUGCGUUGUUGGGUAGGGGAGCGUUCUGUAAGCCUGCGAAGGUGUGCUGUGAGGCAUGCUGGAGGUAUCAGAAGUGCGAAUGCUGACAUAAGUAACGAUAAAGCGGGUGAAAAGCCCGCUCGCCGGAAGACCAAGGGUUCCUGUCCAACGUUAAUCGGGGCAGGGUGAGUCGACCCCUAAGGCGAGGCCGAAAGGCGUAGUCGAUGGGAAACAGGUUAAUAUUCCUGUACUUGGUGUUACUGCGAAGGGGGGACGGAGAAGGCUAUGUUGGCCGGGCGACGGUUGUCCCGGUUUAAGCGUGUAGGCUGGUUUUCCAGGCAAAUCCGGAAAAUCAAGGCUGAGGCGUGAUGACGAGGCACUACGGUGCUGAAGCAACAAAUGCCCUGCUUCCAGGAAAAGCCUCUAAGCAUCAGGUAACAUCAAAUCGUACCCCAAACCGACACAGGUGGUCAGGUAGAGAAUACCAAGGCGCUUGAGAGAACUCGGGUGAAGGAACUAGGCAAAAUGGUGCCGUAACUUCGGGAGAAGGCACGCUGAUAUGUAGGUGAAGCGACUUGCUCGUGGAGCUGAAAUCAGUCGAAGAUACCAGCUGGCUGCAACUGUUUAUUAAAAACACAGCACUGUGCAAACACGAAAGUGGACGUAUACGGUGUGACGCCUGCCCGGUGCCGGAAGGUUAAUUGAUGGGGUCAGCGCAAGCGAAGCUCUUGAUCGAAGCCCCGGUAAACGGCGGCCGUAACUAUAACGGUCCUAAGGUAGCGAAAUUCCUUGUCGGGUAAGUUCCGACCUGCACGAAUGGCGUAAUGAUGGCCAGGCUGUCUCCACCCGAGACUCAGUGAAAUUGAACUCGCUGUGAAGAUGCAGUGUACCCGCGGCAAGACGGAAAGACCCCGUGAACCUUUACUAUAGCUUGACACUGAACAUUGAGCCUUGAUGUGUAGGAUAGGUGGGAGGCUUGGAAGUGUGGACGCCAGUCUGCAUGGAGCCGACCUUGAAAUACCACCCUUUAAUGUUUGAUGUUCUAACGUUGACCCGUAAUCCGGGUUGCGGACAGUGUCUGGUGGGUAGUUUGACUGGGGCGGUCUCCUCCUAAAGAGUAACGGAGGAGCACGAAGGUUGGCUAAUCCUGGUCGGACAUCAGGAGGUUAGUGCAAUGGCAUAAGCCAGCUUGACUGCGAGCGUGACGGCGCGAGCAGGUGCGAAAGCAGGUCAUAGUGAUCCGGUGGUUCUGAAUGGAAGGGCCAUCGCUCAACGGAUAAAAGGUACUCCGGGGAUAACAGGCUGAUACCGCCCAAGAGUUCAUAUCGACGGCGGUGUUUGGCACCUCGAUGUCGGCUCAUCACAUCCUGGGGCUGAAGUAGGUCCCAAGGGUAUGGCUGUUCGCCAUUUAAAGUGGUACGCGAGCUGGGUUUAGAACGUCGUGAGACAGUUCGGUCCCUAUCUGCCGUGGGCGCUGGAGAACUGAGGGGGGCUGCUCCUAGUACGAGAGGACCGGAGUGGACGCAUCACUGGUGUUCGGGUUGUCAUGCCAAUGGCACUGCCCGGUAGCUAAAUGCGGAAGAGAUAAGUGCUGAAAGCAUCUAAGCACGAAACUUGCCCCGAGAUGAGUUCUCCCUGACUCCUUGA
This 2657-nucleotide ribosomal RNA is filed under the name Escherichia coli. RNAcentral describes it as "bacterial LSU rRNA". It matches the Rfam family "Bacterial large subunit ribosomal RNA". The record is from RNAcentral. Lineage: Bacteria; Pseudomonadati; Pseudomonadota; Gammaproteobacteria; Enterobacterales; Enterobacteriaceae.